Molecule: ribosomal RNA, 498 nt
Filed under: uncultured bacterium
Lineage: Bacteria
Description: partial 16S ribosomal RNA
Rfam family: Bacterial small subunit ribosomal RNA
Source: RNAcentral
GACGAACGCUGGCGGCGUGCUUUACACAUGCAAGUCGAACGGUAACAGGUCUUCGGACGCUGACGAGUGGCGAACGGGUGAGUAAUACAUCGGAACGUGCCCAGUCGUGGGGGAUAACUACUCGAAAGAGUAGCCAAUACCGCAUACGAUCUGAGGAUGAAAGCGGGGGACCUUCGGGCCUCGCGCGAUUGGAGCGGCCGAUGGCAGAUUAGGUAGUUGGUGGGAUAAAAGCUUACCAAGCCGACGAUCUGUAGCUGGUCUGAGAGGACGACCAGCCACACUGGGACUGAGACACGGCCCAGACUCCUACGGGAGGCAGCAGUGGGGAAUUUUGGACAAUGGGCGAAAGCCUGAUCCAACAAUGCCGCGUGCAGGAUGAAGGCCUUCGGGUUGUAAACUGCUUUUGUACGGAACGAAAAAGCUCCUUCUAAUACAGGGGGCCCAUGACGGUACCGUAAGAAUAAGCACCGGCUAACUACGUGCCAGCCGCCGCGGUAA